Molecule: small nuclear RNA, 103 nt
Organism: Cebus imitator (Panamanian white-faced capuchin)
Lineage: Eukaryota; Metazoa; Chordata; Mammalia; Primates; Cebidae
Source: Ensembl
CUCAGCAGCGCUUACAUCUCCUACAAUUUGAACAAUUCAGAGUAUAUUAGUAUGACCCUUGCACAAAGAUGACCCACAAAUUUGUGAGGCAUUCCAUAUUUUU